This 460-nucleotide ribosomal RNA is filed under the name uncultured bacterium. RNAcentral describes it as "partial 16S ribosomal RNA". It matches the Rfam family "Bacterial small subunit ribosomal RNA", at positions 338 to 795 of the family's 1533-position model. The record is from RNAcentral.
CCUACGGGAGGCAGCAGUGAGGAAUAUUGCUCAAUGGACGAGAGUCUGAACCAGCCAAGUAGCGUGAAGGAUGACUGCCCUAUGGGUUGUAAACUUCUUUUAUAAAGGAGUUAAACGCGGCACUUGUGCCUUUUUGCAUGUACUUUAUGAAUAAAGAUCGGCUAACUCCGUGCCAGCAGCUGCGGUAAUGCGGAGGAUCCGAGCGUUAUCCGGAUUUAUUGGGUUUAAAGGGAGCGUAGAUGGGUUGUUAAGUCAGUUGUGAAAGUGUGCGGCUCAACCGUAAAAUUGCAAUUGAUACUGGCAGUCUUGAGUACAGUUGAGGUAGGCGGAAUUCGUGGUGUAGCGGUGAAAUGCUUAGAUAUCACGAAGAACCCCGAUUGCGAAGGCAGCUUACUAAACUGUGACUGACAUUGAUGCUCGAAAGUGUGGGUAGCAAACAGGAUUAGAUACCCGGGUAGUC